Molecule: ribosomal RNA, 773 nt
Filed under: uncultured Acaulosporaceae
Lineage: Eukaryota; Fungi; Glomeromycota; Glomeromycetes; Diversisporales; Acaulosporaceae
Description: eukaryotic LSU rRNA
Rfam family: Eukaryotic large subunit ribosomal RNA
Source: RNAcentral
GUCAAGUAAGAAUACCCGCUGAACUUAAGCAUAUCAAUAAGCGGAGGAAAAGAAGCUAACUAGGAUUCCCUUAGUAACGGCGAGUGAACUGGGAAAAGCUCAAAUUUUAAAUCACCCCGGUGAAUUGUAAUUUGAAGAAAGUGAUUUGACUUUUCAGUUUAAUCUAAAUCCUUUGGGAUGAGGUAUCAUAGAGGGUGAGAAUCCCGUUCUUGAUUAAACCUCGGAUUGCACUAAUUCACUUUCUAAGAGUCGAGUUGUUUGGGAUUGCAGCUCCAAAUGGGUGGUAAAUUUCACCUAAGGCUAAAUAUAUGCAAGAGACCGAUAGCGAACAAGUACCGUGAGGGAAAGAUGAAAAGAACUUUGAAAAGAGAGUUAAAUAGUACGUGAAAUUGUUGAAAGGGAAACGAUUGAAGUCAGUCAUGCUAAUGAGGAAUCAACUUGGUGGUUUACUUCCUUGUGCAUUUUCUCGCUUGGCAGGUUAGCAUCAAUUUUGGUUGUCAUCAAAGAAUUAGGGGAAUGUGGCUUUUCUUCGGUAAAGUGUUAUAGACUCUGAUUGAUGUGGCGACUGGGAUUGAGGUUUGCAGCGAAUGCCUUUUUGGGCUAGUCACCUGUCUUCUGACCGUCACCUCGCUUUUGACAGCUUGCUGAUGAUCGCGGGAUUUGGCGACCUAGGAGUUAGAGUGAACAUAAAUUCGCUAAGGAAGCUGACGUAAUGGCUUUAAACGACCCGUCUUGAAACACGGACCAAGGAGUCUAACAUAUGUGCGAGUGUU